Molecule: unclassified non-coding RNA, 343 nt
Filed under: soil metagenome
Description: partial contains 5.8S ribosomal RNA, internal transcribed spacer 2, and large subunit ribosomal RNA
Rfam family: 5.8S ribosomal RNA (bases 1-119)
Source: RNAcentral
GAUGAAGAACGUAGCGAAAUGCGAUACGUAAUGUGAAUUGCAAAUUCAGUGAAUCAUCGAGUCUUUGAACGCACAUUGCGCCCCCUGGUAUUCCGGGGGGCAUGCCUGUCCGAGCGUCAUUGCUGCCCUCAAGCACGGCUUGUGUGUUGGGCCCCGUCCUCCGAUCCCGGGGGACGGGCCCGAAAGGCAGCGGCGGCACCGCGUCCGGUCCUCGAGCGUAUGGGGCUUUGUCACCCGCUCUGUAGGCCCGGCCGGCGCUUGCCGAUCAACCCAAAUUUUUGUCCAGGUUGACCUCGGAUCAGGUAGGGAUACCCGCUGAACUUAAGCAUAUCAAAAGCGGAGA